GACGAACGCUGGCGGUGUGCUUAACACAUGCAAGUCGAACGGAAAGGCCCUGCUUUUGUGGGGUGCUCGAGUGACGAACGGGUGAGUAACACGUGAGUAACCUGCCCUUGACUUUGGGAUAACUUCAGGAAACUGGGGCUAAUACCGGAUAGGAGCUCCUGCUGCAUGGUGGGGGUUGGAAAGUUUCGGCGGUUGGGGAUGGACUCGCGGCUUAUCAGCUUGUUGGUGGGGUAGUGGCUUACCAAGGCUUUGACGGGUAGCCGGCCUGAGAGGGUGACCGGCCACAUUGGGACUGAGAUACGGCCCAGACUCCUACGGGAGGCAGCAGUGGGGAAUAUUGCACAAUGGGCGGAAGCCUGAUGCAGCAACGCCGCGUGCGGGAUGACGGCCUUCGGGUUGUAAACCGCUUUCGCCUGUGACGAAGCGUGAGUGACGGUAAUGGGUAAAGAAGCACCGGCUAACUACGUGCCAGCAGCCGCGGUGAUACGUAGGGUGCGAGCGUUGUCCGGAUUUAUUGGGCGUAAAGGGCUCGUAGGUGGUUGAUCGCGUCGGAAGUGUAAUCUUGGGGCUUAACCCUGAGCGUGCUUUCGAUACGGGUUGACUUGAGGAAGGUAGGGGAGAAUGGAAUUCCUGGUGGAGCGGUGGAAUGCGCAGAUAUCAGGAGGAACACCAGUGGCGAAGGCGGUUCUCUGGGCCUUCCCUGACGCUGAGGAGCGAAAGCGUGGGGAGCGAACAGGCUUAGAUACCCUGGUAGUCCACGCUGUAAACGGUGGGUACUAGGUGUGGGGUCCAUUCCACGGGUUCCGUGCCGUAGCUAACGCUUUAAGUACCCCGCCUGGGGAGUACGGCCGCAAGGCUAAAACUCAAAGGAAUUGACGGGGCCCCGCACAAGCGGCGGAGCAUGCGGAUUAAUUCGAUGCAACGCGUAGAACCUUACCUGGGUUUGACAUGGAUCGGGAGUGCUCAGAGAUGGGUGUGCCUCUUUUGGGGUCGGUUCACAGGUGGUGCAUGGCUGUCGUCAGCUCGUGUCGUGAGAUGUUGGGUUAAGUCCCGCAACGAGCGCAACCCUUGUUCACUGUUGCCAGCACGUUAUGGUGGGGACUCAGUGGAGACCGCCGGGGUCAACUCGGAGGAAGGUGGGGAUGACGUCAAGUCAUCAUGCCCCUUAUGUCCAGGGCUUCACGCAUGCUACAAUGGCUGGUACAGAGAGUGGCGAGCCUGUGAGGGUGAGCGAAUCUCGGAAAGCCGGUCUCAGUUCGGAUUGGGGUCUGCAACUCGACCUCAUGAAGUCGGAGUCGCUAGUAAAAGCAGAUCAGCAACGCUGCGGUGAAUACGUUCCCGGGCCU
This 1346-nucleotide ribosomal RNA is filed under the name uncultured bacterium. RNAcentral describes it as "16S ribosomal RNA". It matches the Rfam family "Bacterial small subunit ribosomal RNA", at positions 28 to 1381 of the family's 1533-position model. The record is from RNAcentral.